AGUGAACGCUGGCGGUAGGCCUAACACAUGCAAGUCGAACGGCAGCACAGUAAGAGCUUGCUCUUACGGGUGGCGAGUGGCGGACGUGUGAGGAAUACAUCGGAAUCUACUUUUUCGUGGGGGAUAACGUAGGGAAACUUACGCUAAUACCGCAUACGACCUACGGGUGAAAGCAGUGGAUCUUCGGACCUUGCGCGAUUGAAUGAGCCGAUGUCGGAUUAGCUAGUUGGCGGGGUAAAGGCCCACCAAGGCGACGAUCCGUAGCUGGUCUGAGAGGCUGAUCAGCCACACUGGAACUGAGACACGGUCCAGACUCCUACGGGAGGCAGCAGUGGGGAAUAUUGGACAAUGGGCGCAAGCCUGAUCCAGCCAUACCGCGUGGGUGAAGAAGGCCUUCGGGUUGUAAAGCCCUUUUGUUGGGAAAGAAAAGCAGCAGGUUAAUACCCCGCUGUUCUGACGGUACCCAAAGAAUAAGCACCGGCUAACUUCGUG
RNAcentral lists this ribosomal RNA (492 nucleotides) under uncultured bacterium. RNAcentral describes it as "partial 16S ribosomal RNA". It matches the Rfam family "Bacterial small subunit ribosomal RNA", at positions 29 to 507 of the family's 1533-position model. The record is from RNAcentral.